CCCGAAGUUAUUUGUAUCAUGACUCUUAAAAGUUCUCAUCUAAGCAUCUGCCCUUUUAUGGGCACUUCGUUUUUUGAAGGCAGAGUUUUUAAAAUAUCAAUACAACCAUGUUUUGGAUUCAGGGAAGCUCUUUUUUUCCCGUUAUAAAAACAAGCAUUGAAUACCGAUCUCUUAGAUUACGACAUUGUAAAUGCACUAGAUGCACCAGUAAAGUAUUCGAUGGGAGAGUCUUGAGCUUUCUUAGAUGACCCAGAAUGCCUUGGUCGAUGAACUCCGGAGCUAGUCUCCUUUGGCACCUCCCCUUCAAUGGUUGCGAAGCUAGUAUAGAAACUGCUAUUGUCCAAUUUCCACUUGAAAUACAAGCAGAAAUCGUCGUCGUCUUCAUCAUCAUCAUCAUGUACCGGAAUCCACUGUUGUCCCUGUAGCAUCUCUACCACUGCAAAUGUGCCUUCUGUUAACAGAUCAUUCCUCGGGUUAGCACUCCAAGAUGUGGCACUCGGUCUAUCCCCUUUUUUGAAUGAGCCACCUUUUGGUUUUACUAAUAUCUUGUUUGAUGUCACCAAACUUCUUAUCACUUGGAAGCGAGUCUCGAAAUGGAUCAGCUAAGAGUUGAGUACUUUUGAGGAAAGAUGAGGUGGUGACCAGUCUGCUGGCUGAAGGACACCCCAUCCCUUUGCCAUUGCUAGUGCUAGGUGGCUAAAUUCUUGUGUGCAUUCUGAUAAUGUGCGAGGACCAUAGAGUGUUGAAGCAGCCUCCACAAUUCAUUAAGAAUUGGCAAAGACAAACUAGCCUGGCUACUAUUACAACCUCUUCUUUUUAUCUCAGCAAGUGCAUACCUCGUAUCCUUGUUGUUCGUAUUCUUCGAAAGUUGCAGUAUACUGGGAGUAAGUGAACGUGGGUCUCCUCGUUAAAUUCUCCUCCUCCAUUACUUAUCAAUGUCUCCUUAACUGCCUCCCUCGGUCGUCGGCCAGCCAUUGUUGUCAGCUCCGCAAACGUCAAAAACCUGACAGCAUGUUUUAUGCACUAAUUGUAAAUUAAGUCGUUUGAUUGCUGAGGGAAAGAAAGCAAACCUCCUGGAACAGAAAGUAUAUAUGAUCAAUUUUCCCACUCUAAGUAUUUGAAAAGGAAUAACUUCUGGCUGCAUAAGAUUGAAGGAACAAUUAAUUGAAAAUACAUCUCUACUAGGCAAGUCAUAGUGGCAAAGGUUCCAAUGCAGUAUCUGAUACGGUAGUAACGGUUGGCGCUAUCUUUUCAGGGGAAAAAAUUCUUUGGUUAAAAUUAGUAUAUUAUUCAGUAAUGUUUUUAAUAGGCAAUAAAGCUUUCUAAAAAUGAGGAUAAGAUUUCCAUAAAAAGAAAAAAGAGGAUAAGGUACUGACCUCUGUAUCACACCUUGCUGUAACCCAAACAUGCCAGGCCCAUUUGUGGUUCCAGCAGCAAAACCUGGACCAAGGGGGCUGUAGGACAAGUCCUAACUUUGCUGUUUCCAUUAAAACUCCGCUACUAUUUGACUAAAGUUUUGGCGAUAUCGAUCUUUGCCUGUCAAAUCCUUGGUGGCAGACAUGAAUAAAUCAACGUCCCUGUUGAAUUGCCUCUCUCCAAUGAUAUUAGUCAUCAGUAUUUUGGCAUCAUUAUUUGUAUAUUUUAAAAAUAAUUUUAAAAAAUUUAAAUUUUUUUAAAAAGAAUUAAUUUUUUUUUAUUUUAGAUUAUUUUGAUAUGAAAAUAUAAAAAAUAAUUUUUAAAAAAUAAAAAAAUAAUAUUUUAAUAUAUUUUUAAAUAAAUUUUUUUAAAAAAAUAAUUGAUACUACAUUUCUAAAUAUAGUUUUAAAAUCCGGCCCGGCCAGGUUGAAGAAAAAACAAGGAAAGGAAAAACACUGCGUGACACGGCUGGUUGAUCCGGCGACCCAGUUAACCCGGCAAGACCCGGUCAAAAACCUGGUUGCAACCCGUUGACUUUUAUUUUUUUUACUAAAACAAUGUCGUUUUGAUUUUUUUAAAAAAAUUGAUCCAAUAACCCGAUCAAAAUCCGAAUCUUGAACCGGGCCGGCCACCUAACUGGGUCUAAAAACUAUGCUUCUAGACACUUUCUUCGCAUGAUUAUCUAGUAAAAUAAACCAUAUUGUCAAGUCUAAUGUUAUUGCUAUUAAAUGGCUCGUUUGAUCCUUAUGCUAAUUAAAUUUAUUACUUGAUUCUCAUGCUAAUCUAUUUGGUUUAAGAAAUCCUAUAUUAAGUUUUUAUAUUUAUUUGUAAUUUGAUCAUUUUGGUGGUUUCCAUGACAAUUUCUUAACGGUUUUUUUUUUAAAUGUCAUUUAUUUUUAAUCAAAUUUUCAAAUCUCACUUGAUAUAGAAAAUCUUGAAAUGAAUUAACAAGGAUACUUUAGAAAAUUUUAAAAAAAACAUUAGCAAUCAAAUUUUGUCAAGAAACUAACUUAAAUUUUCAAAACUAGAAGGACUGACUUCCAAAAUAAUUGAAAACAUAGGAACUAAAUUAUAAGUUAAAAAAAAAAUAAAGCGAGAUCUCUGGAAUAAUCCAUAUUCAGAGCAUCAUGAAGUUCUUUAUAGCUGGCACGUUACUAGCCUCAUUUUCUCUUUCGACUUUUACCAUUUUCUCUCGUGAGGCCAUGAUCAUUAAGACUUGCAAGCUGUGUUAUAGCAUAGCUUGCAAUUAAUUUUUAAUGCUGACUAAAGUGCAUAGAAACCUUUCAUUUCACUCCAAGUAUAUCUCUGUUUUGAAAAAAAUAAUCUUUUGAAAAAUAAGUUAUUUUUUAUUAUCUAGAUAGAUUAAAAAAAAUAAUUUAAUUAAAAUAAAAAAACACUUUUAAAAUAAAAAAAUAAACAAGCAAGUUGUAUCUAGCUUGUUGUUGAUUCUCUUCGAAUUCAAUCAAUGGCACCAUAAAAAUUAGUCUAAAACAAACAUCAUUUCUUGAUUCUCGCAUCAAGUUUCCGUUGAAAUCACCGCUUUCCGACCUCAAGCGGCUAUUUUUUCCACCCUGGACCCUAUUAGAUCCACCAUUUUUCUUCAAGUGCUGGAUGAGUUCUUCCUAAAGGUAACCGAAAGGAAAAGGAAAAGUGAUCCCAUCUGGACUCCAGUGCCAACGGUAUCAAUCAAUCAUCCACGAAGCCAAUAAAUAGAGGUGGGAUGAAUUUCUACCUCCCCGUAUGGCCCUUGUAGCGAAAUAUUUAUGGCAUUUUGGGUUCAUCCAUGGCUCGGGUGAUUUAAAAUUCCUUGACUCGGUCGAGAAUUCAAGUUGAUGUAUCUUAGUAGAAAAUUUGUUAGAUUUUUUUAAAAAUAAUAUUAUUUUUAUGUUUUAGAAUAAAAAAGAUAGAUUAGUGUUAACCCGGAUAAUCCUAUAAUCUGUGAUUUAAGAUUUAUCCGGGUCCCCAUGUGGGGUUUAAAAACAACGGCUUAUGGAGGAAACAGCUAAUCAGAGAAAUGUCCCUUUCUGUUUUUUCUUUCUCAUCUUUCUAUCCCUACCAGGAAGCUCUCGAAGAUUUCAGCACUGUAGCUCUCCUUCACCUGUCUUAAUCGAACCCUACACAUGUACACUCAUGGCAAUUUAGCUAUAAAUUAUUCUCUUUCGCAUCAAGAUGGAGUGUUCGGAUUGAAACUGUUUUUGGUUAAACUUUAAUUUUUUUAUUUUAAAUUAAGUUUUAAAAUAUUUUUUAUGUGUUGAUAUAAAAAUAAAUUUAAAAAAUAUUAGUUUAAUAUAUUUAUUUAAAAAACAACAUUUACUUUACACUCAAAAACACCUGUAAAUUUUGAUCUCGACAAUCAUGGAACGCCCGAGUCCCUUCGAAACCACUUGCUGACCAUGCCACAUUUCUCCGAGACUACCCCACCCAAUUAACAAUCAAAUUUUCUAGGCGCCGAAGAUUAAUGUGCGUGGAUUAGGAGCCAGCAUUGGCUUUGAUUCUUUCAUUUUUCUAAUGAAUAUAACCUCAAAUCACAGGAAUAAAGGGUGAGUGAUAUCAUGAACUUAUCCGACUUGAACUUUUGAUAAGUUCUCCAUGAAGUUAUUUUACAAUGCUGAAGUGGGCCUCAUGUGGGGUUAGAAGGCAUGAUCACUCUCCCCCACCACCACAUUCAACACAUCGAAUUAAGGCAAGAUGCAUGGAUCGAGUCUUCAAGAUCAUUUACAUGUAGACCAUGCUUUUGCCUUUUAAUUUCUUUUCUCUAUCUUGUAACUAUCAAAAGGAAGUAGAAACAAGGGAAAUAAUAAUUCAUUGAUUAUAGUUUAAAAAAGGGAUCAAAAUAACAAAAACAAAGGAAAUGAUCCUGAAAACAUGAGAUGUGAUCAAAACCCUAACAAUCUUACAUCAAAUUACAAGCACGUAUGGUCUUGUAAUAUUUGCAGUAAACCGAGCUUUUUUUUCUAAAAAGGAAGAAAAACAGUAGAUGGACAUAACCAAACAAGCCACACAUCAAGCAUCAUCAUCACCGUUCUAUAGAACACAAGAAUACUGCCUGCUGCCCUACUGGGAAGCACUCUCCUUUUCUUUCUCCUUCUCUUCUUCAGUCUUGGGGUGGUACCCAGGUAACUUCUCCUUGAUCUUCUCGAGUAGUCCCUUCUUCUCCUUGGCAUCUCCUUCAUGGGAAACUGCAGCUUCAGGGGAAACAUGUUCAGGAGCUGGAGGAGGGACCUCGUCAGCUUUCUUAUGUCCUGGCAAUUUCUCCUUGAUUUUGUCAAGGAAACCCUUCUUAUCCUCUGGUUCAUGGGGUGUCUCUGUAUGGACUACCUCGACAGGAACACUAGUAUCCUCGUGUUCCUUCUCCUCUCCUUUCUCUCCUGAUAUCUUCAUCUUCUCUUUCAAUGACCUCUUUUCCUUCUUCUUCUUCUUUUUCUCUUCAUCGUCACCUUCCUCCUCGUCGCUAGACUGCAUUUUUUAACACAUCAAAAAAUCUGUCAAUCUCAAGAAACACUUAACGGAAAAGACAACAAACAAAAUAAAUAAUGAGAUCGAUCCAUGGAUCGAGUUAGAAACUUACAGAGCUGGAAGAACUGCUGCCUGAUCGAUGGAGUUUCUCAAAGAGAGUAGGUUUCUUCUCCUCUUCCUCUUUUUUCUUGUGCUCUUCCUCUACUUUAGUCUCGGGUUCAGAAACCUGAAGUUUCUCUUCAAAUUCAGUACCAAUCACCUCCUCUUGAGGCUUCUCUUCUUCUUUCUUCCCCAGGAAAUCAAACAACCCGCGAUCCUUGGUCUCAACAGCACCACUCUCUUCACCAACUUUGGUCUCAUACUCAUGGCUCUUGUUUUCCUCAGCCAUACUGAUCAAAAUCACAAUAUGAACCUAAUCAAGAAAAGAUCAAAAUCACAACAGAGUAAUUAAAAUGAGUAAGCUUCUGCUUCGAGUGAUUUGCGCUU
RNAcentral lists this long non-coding RNA (5358 nucleotides) under Populus trichocarpa (black cottonwood). RNAcentral's name for it is "long non-coding RNA (PTRI_LNC001618)". Lineage: Eukaryota; Viridiplantae; Streptophyta; Magnoliopsida; Malpighiales; Salicaceae. The record is from RNAcentral.